Molecule: long non-coding RNA, 503 nt
Filed under: Fukomys damarensis (Damara mole-rat)
Lineage: Eukaryota; Metazoa; Chordata; Mammalia; Rodentia; Bathyergidae
Description: lncRNA (ENSFDAG00000032317.1)
Source: RNAcentral
GCACCACACAGAAUUCCACAGAAUUCCAUAGGGCCAGCUGCAGACUUGGAAGGGACAUUUUACCCCCACCCUCUGGAGACCCAAGGCUCCUGGCUACUGGGCCUAUAGGGAGGCAGGAAGCUUCAGGCCUUCGUUUACCAGCAGGAAGGGAGGCUGGAAAGGGCUGCAGGUUCCUGUGUGCUGGAGAAAGCCAAAAAAUCCUGUCCAGCUGUUCUAUGCAGAGGCCAGUUGCCGGGAACUUUAAUCAGCAUGGCAUGUUUCUCUGGAAGGAUGCUGGGAGUUUCAUUCUCUCCGUGGUGAGGUGAGAGGAAAGGAUUGCACUUUUGCCUUUUUUUUUUGGUACCGGGGAUUGAACUUGGGUCCUUGCGCUUUCGAGGCAGGCCACUGAACUGCUGAGCUAAAUCCCAGGCCCUAGGUUUGAUUUUUUUUGCACUUUUGCCUUUGAUAGCAGUUCCCGGCUGGGUGGUUUUGUUAGGCAAAUGUUUGCUGAGGCCUUGUGGACC